RNAcentral lists this ribosomal RNA (279 nucleotides) under uncultured bacterium. RNAcentral's name for it is "partial 16S ribosomal RNA". It matches the Rfam family "Bacterial small subunit ribosomal RNA", at positions 506 to 784 of the family's 1533-position model. The record is from RNAcentral.
UGCCAGCCGCCGCGGUAAUACGGAGGGGGUUAGCGUUGUUCGGAAUUACUGGGCGUAAAGCGCACGUAGGCGGACUGGAAAGUUGGGGGUGAAAUCCCAGGGCUCAACCCUGGAACUGCCUCCAAAACUAUCAGUCUAGAGUUCGAGAGAGGUGAGUGGAAUUCCGAGUGUAGAGGUGAAAUUCGUAGAUAUUCGGAGGAACACCCGAGGCGAAGGCGCCUUCCUGGACGGCCACUGACGCUGAGACGCGAAAGCGUGGGGAGCAAACAGGAUUAGAUA